This is a long non-coding RNA of Hypanus sabinus (Atlantic stingray), 2791 nucleotides long. RefSeq lists it as uncharacterized. The record is from RefSeq and is a predicted model, not a curated record. The transcript has 4 exons. Lineage: Eukaryota; Metazoa; Chordata; Chondrichthyes; Myliobatiformes; Dasyatidae.
GAUCUAAAUGCCUAGAAGAGCAAUCAUUUCCAGAAGUUACUUGAUAUACAAGUACUCACUUUCAAGGACUCUUCAUCUCAUGUUCUCGAUAGUUAUUGCUUAUUUAUUGAUUGAUAUGUUUAUUUAUUUGUUGCCUUUUGCACACUGGUCAUUUGUCUGUCCUGUUGGUAUGGUUUUUCGUUGUUUCUAUUGUGUUCCUUGUAUUUACUGUGAAUGUGAUGCUACAUUCAUUCCACACUAACACAUGGAAGGAAAUGUUGGACAAUAUCAAAGUAAAAUGAGGAAAGACUCAAAGCUGCAGAAAUGUGGUUUUUGAGAAGAAUGGUGAAAGUAUCAUGGAGGGACAGAGUAACAAAUGAGGAAGUGUUGUGAACAAGUUCCAAGAUGGCGGCGCGACGCAGCUUGCAGCGGCCACUGCGGAGCUGAUUAUCUGUUAUUUGUGAAGUGGAAUGCCGUGCGGAAUCAUAAUCAAUUGAAAACGGACUUGGGAGCACAGAGGAACAUUGGGAAAUCUCCAGGAAGACCUUCUUCGUUGCUGCUGCUGCUGUGAGGUUCGGGACUCUGCUGGGAAGAACAGGCCCCCAGUCCUCGGGGUCGCGUUGCCGAUGGCCAUUGGCGGGGGCGUCUUAAUACGCUCGGCAGAGGAUGGUGCUCGGAGAAGCUGUGUCGGAGGGGAUGGUUGUCGGCUCGGAGGUUCGACGGACUCGGAGACCGCUGCAGUCAGGUUGCUGGCGGUGUGUGCUGCGUCUGUGAGGCUGGGUUCGACAGAGCUUUCAUUGUGUGCUGUGUCUGCGAGGCUGAGUUGGGCGGCGCCGUGGAAGUCCAUAGCAGGGGUAUUCCCUUCUGCUGCCAGCGUGGGAUGUUGCUGCCAGAGCUGCUGAAUGUUUGCCGCAUUUCUCUUUCGAUGGGGGAGCAACUGCAUCCUUUUGUCAUGGCAGGGUACCUUUGCUUUUGUUCUUGGGCACGAAGAAGAAGAGAAGAAGAGAAGAAGCAGGACAAAAUGCAGUUAACAUUAUGUGGAAGUAUACAUCAUCAUUAUACGGCCCGUAGUCUGGUAAUACGAUGUUCUAAAGAAGAUGGUGGCUGCAGCCAACACGUAGUUCAUGUUCUGAUGUGUUUCAGGUGUUGAAGUGGCGUCUGCAUCGGACCUUGGGGUGAAUGGCCCGGGGUUCAAAUCCGGCCAGCUCCUACAGGCUUUCCAUCAACGCUGGGUUGAGCUUCGAGCUGGCAACUCGACCUCAUAAAGAAACAGACAAACGCUGAAGAAAUGGCAAGGUUGCCCCCCAAUGCACCACAGGGCAUGGUGAAGAACAACAGCACAAAAUCUUAGAUUUCAUACACAAGUCCAUGACUUUCCUAGAAGCUAGCAUGUACAGAGGAAACUCAGCAGGUCAUCCGCCUAUAAUUCCAUUUAGUCCUAUAGACUAUUGGUGCUAUUGGAGUGAACUUAGCAACAAGGAAGAAACAAUGGAUUCUUGUGUCUUGCUGUCUUGUAGGGGCAAGUCAGAGACACUACCAGAUGUAAAGAAAAAAAAAAUACACUCGUUUGGCUAAAGCUAUCUCAACAUAUUGACUCCUGAUCACACCCAGGGGAAAUGUUGAACAGACUCAUUCUUGAAAACUGCGGUUUAUAUUAAUGGAUCUGCUGUAAGAUUACAUAUUUGGCAUAUAUUGUUACACAGGUAUGCAUUACAUUAAUUUUAUAAUGUCUUUACAUCCGGUUAAGUGCAAAUAUACCAAGAUAAAACUAAAGACAGUGAUUUGCAAGUGAUGCCUUUGCUGUUCUCUUGACUAGGCAGUUGUAUAUUUGACAUCAUCUUCUACUUUGUAUGUUAACCUUAGCACCUGUUAAGUUGCCCUUUCUAUAUCCCUUCAAAGAUCAAAUAAGUCUGAUGGAAAAUUGUCCUUACAAAUUGAUCUUCUACUUCAGAAAUGAAAAGAACAUAAUGGAAGGAUCAGUGCUGAGGGCCUCAAAUAGUUUCCAUCAUCACAGUCUUCAGAUUGACUUGAUGAAGGCAAGGAUCUCGAAUAUCCUGGUCCAAGGGCUUACUAUUGUGGGUCAUGUAGAUUGCCAUCAUUCUGCUUGAUCACAAACAAAUUGGAUUUAGUGAACUUGGAAAAAAUUUUCUAUGUAGUUGCAUAUUCUAACCAAGAUAGUUCAACUCAGGCAUUAAAGACUGUGCUCAAAAACAGCCUGAUGAGCGACAUCCUAUUUUGACCGAUGCUGUUACGUUGUUUGUUGCCUGGACUAAACUAACUGAUUUGAUUGGUUUAUAUCAAGUCGGAUUGAAGUAAGACUAGUCAAAUGUAGAUAUGCUGUCUUUAUCAUUUUCUUGGCUUUUUACCAUGUGCAAGAAACAAAUACUUGAGUUUCACUGAUUUUCAAUAAUGAUUUUUUAAUUUUUAAUUUUUGAGAUACAGCAUGGAACAGUCCCUUCUGGUCCUUUGAACCUUUUGUCAAUACUGUAAAGGAAGGGGGAGGAACCCAGAAUAGGGUAGUGUGGGAAGGGAAGGAGUACAAGCUGGCAGGUGAUAGGUGAGACCAAGAGAGGAGGCAGGUGGGUGAAUGGAUGGGGGAGGAGGGGGAUGAAGAAAGAAGUUAGACUUCUUCCCUCUUCCUUUCCAGUCCAGGCCCGAAGUAUUGACUGUUUAUUCCCCUCCAAUAAACACUGCCUGACCUGCUGAGUUCCUCAAGCACUUUGCGUGUUACUCAAGAUUUCCAGCAUCUGUAGAAUCUCUAGUGCUUAUGGCAUUGAACUUAGUUUGAUGUGAAACAUGUGGGAUAUUUUAU